This 2053-nucleotide long non-coding RNA is filed under the name Olea europaea (common olive). Its description in RNAcentral is "long non-coding RNA (OEUR_LNC007558)". The record is from RNAcentral. Lineage: Eukaryota; Viridiplantae; Streptophyta; Magnoliopsida; Lamiales; Oleaceae.
UAGAAAACACCACAGAUUCCUCAUCUUGAAACUCCUCCCACAACCCACGUAUAAUCUUCACACAACACGACUGCAAUGAGUUUUCCAUUGUCGCCUUACGUCUCCGGCGAAAUCGCUACCACAUUCAACAUACACAUAAUCGUCCCACCAUAUAACCAUCAAUCUAUAAGUAUUUUCGUCCUAUGAAGGCUAUAAACUAGAAGAUUAAUGACUCUUUCGAAGAGUGAAAAUCAAGGCAAUAAUGCAGUCAAGGCCUUAGAUAGAAUGGGUAAAAGAAAGGUAGAUAAAGUACAUAAUGUUUUCCCAUCUAAAAGGCACAAACGGACUGGACUGGGUCAGUCCCAAAAUCAACCACGAAGAAGGUAUUUUCCAAAAAUCAAUUAGGUAAUUCAAUUAUAUCUUAUGUAUGAACCCGAAAUUGAUGGUUACUGAGUAUUGAAAACGUGUUCUAUAUUUGGGAAGUAUGCUCUAAUCAAUUUGUGACAUAUGAGUUGAGUGAUUCAAUUUGUGACCUGUGAGUUAAGUGCAUUUUGAUAUUCAUUUUUCUGUAAUCAAAUUACUUUUUAUUAUUAAUUUUAGUAUUUCAAAUCCCUAUUACCAUUUGGAAUAGUUUAGCAAGUUUGUAUGACUUUGAAUUUCAUCAGAAUUAUAACAUAUAAAAUGUGUCGUUUCCUAUUAGGUCAAGGCCAGAGACCAAGUAUUCUAACCAAAAGGAUAGACAUUACUAAUAUUAGUUAUUUACCUCUUUUACAAAUUCUAGUAACUCUUAAAUUGUCCAACUGUUAACUAAUUGGUUACAUUUUAUUCAUUCGUCAUAAUACUCCAAUUACUCUCAUAUGUACGAACCUAAAAUUGCUGGUUACUAAGUAUUGAUGACCUGUUUUAUAUUUGUGAAGUAUGCUCUAUUCAAUUUGUGACCUAUGCUUUGAGUGCAUUUUGGUAUUCGAUUGUGUGACUCAUAAGAUGGGAUUCUGGCGUUGUUUAAUUUAUGAAUUAGUAAUCAUCUAAGUAACUACGUUUGUGAACUGCAAAUCCAUGUGUGAUCAACAUUUGUGUUUGGAGGUUGUGACCUAAGAAGUAGCAAUGAAAUAAAUAGCCCUACUUGUGGUAUGCCAAUCAAUAUGUGAACCAACUUCUUUCCUUAUUAUGUUACAAAUAUGCAUCUUUGUCUGUCGUGACCUAGAAAUUUUUGUGAUUUUCUACAUUAGUUUGUACUCAAUUAUGCCUUUGUGACUUCUCUAUACAUCUGUGACAAUUUCUUAUUGUUUUGUGACAAUAUAUAGGUUUUCAAGUUCAUUAUACCAGAGAAUAGUUGGUUUCUUUGUAAAAUCCCACAAAGUGUGUUUUGAUAAGAAUUAAAACAAGUCUAACAAAGUUGAAGGUGAUGCUUGAUUUCUCCAUUCGCAACAGAAAAAUGGUGACCUCUACUUUAUAGUUACACGGACUAAUAUUGGAUUCCAUACCUAAUGAACUGCAUUUUUUCAGACAUGAUCAUAACAUAUAUGUGAUCAAAUAUGCUGAGUACAUGCUACAUAAUGAUAUAGGCUAUAUGUCGAUGAAAUUUGAUGCGGACAGAGCUCAGCUGUAUAUAACGUCGUUGUUGUUUAAACAUUAAAAAAUUAGAAAGGCCACAAAGAAUGUGCAGUAAACUGGAGGAAAAGGCAUCGUCAUAGAGUGAUAGGAAAAAUGCAAUCUGAAAAAAACAUGAAAUUGUAAUAGAUAGAAUAUGAAGUGUUUUUUGCAUUCUAAUUUGUAAUAACUACGUAUCUUUUGUACUUGAGAAUUUUAAUUAGUUUACAACAACUUUGGCAGGAUCCUGCACAGAUCACAUAUUUGUAUUAAAUAGUCACAUGUUACUGUGUAUGUCAUGGCACAGGUCAUAUCCGAUUUUAUUAUGGUCAUAGCAGACGUGAACAUAUAUGUUUUUCACAUGGGUCACAUUACACCCACACAGUAAAACAUUACAAGUCACAUAUUCAUAUGAUCAAAGAAUAGGUCACAUGAUGAUACUAUAAUGUUCAAAACACGGGUCACAUAUAUUUUCUCACAUUGG